AGAUAAUGUAAAACAGAGUCCGUGCACUAGUAGUGGUAAAACUUAAAACUUCAAAAGUCCAAUAAUAUGCAUAAAAGACGUCUCACUGUUAUGUAGAUGAGCUGUAUAUGUGCAGUCCUCAAAGGUUAAUCCUUCCGAAUUUUCAGGGAAUCCGUAUAUGAAAGAUAAGAACAUAAACACACUUCCAAUGGUAUAGUAUAUACUGAGAGGUUUAGCGAAAUUGAAUAAAAGUGGAGAAUGGUAAACUCACAUUUGUUGGAGCUUAGGACCAGCUCUUAGUUGUAAGGCAC
Molecule: non-coding RNA, 290 nt
Organism: Pelobates cultripes (western spadefoot toad)
Lineage: Eukaryota; Metazoa; Chordata; Amphibia; Anura; Pelobatidae
Source: the annotation of a GenBank genome assembly